Molecule: ribosomal RNA, 468 nt
Filed under: uncultured bacterium
Lineage: Bacteria
Description: partial 16S ribosomal RNA
Rfam family: Bacterial small subunit ribosomal RNA
Source: RNAcentral
GACGAACGCUGGCGGCGUGCUUAACACAUGCAAGUCGAACGGAAAGGCCCUGCUUUUGUGGGGUGCUCGAGUGGCGAACGGGUGAGUAACACGUGAGUAACCUGACCUUGACUUUGGGAUAACUUCAGGAAACUGGGGCUAAUACCGGAUAGGAGAUCCUGCUGCAUGGUGGGGGUUGGAAAGUUUCGGCGGUUGGGGAUGGACUCGCGGCUUAUCAGCUUGUUGGUGGGGUAGUGGCUUACCAAGGCUUUGACGGGUAGCCGGCCUGGGAGGGUGACCGGCCACAUUGGUACUGAGAUACGGCCCAGACGCCUACGGGAGGCAGCAGGGGGGAAUAUGGCCCAAUGGGCGGAAGUCUGAGGCAGCAACGCCGCGGUCGGGAUGACGGCCUUCGGGUUGUAAACCGCUUUCGCCUGUGACGAAGCGGGAGUGACGGUAAUGGGUAAAGAAGCACCGGCUAACUACGUG